AAGUUAUCUAAAUUUUCCCCCUUUUUCUUCCCUCUCUUGUGCAAUACACAGAGAACCAAAUUUCCCCUGGGUCUUCUAGUCGAUCGACUUUUGUGCAUCUGCUCUGCAACUUUGGUAUCUCCGCCUCCCUCGUCGGCUCCUCUCUCUUGUGUUGCACCUAAUGGAUGUAUAAGACAAGAUUGGCCAACUUUGGAGAUAGUCAACACUAAGAGGAACGGGAAGGUUGGUCCUCCUCGGACUAUGGGGGAGAUGUUACGCAACAAAAUUUUUGCUCAGGCAACAUGGGUGCCUCUCCUUCAAAGCUAUUGUCUCAGGUUCCUAUGUCACAGCCAUCAUCGCUGCUAUUAAACCACAACAGAUACCAUCACUGCAUUCACAGCUGCCCCCACCACAAUAGCCCUCAUUGAGGAAUUCAUGCUCCCCACACGUAAGACAUUGAAUUGUGAGAGUCUAUCGGAGAUGACAACACACCUUUGGAGCAAAGUCAUAGGGCACGGCCAAUUUCUUUAGGACUUGAUGACCAUGUUAGAACAUAAGCGUUCUUUCAAAAUUCUAGUAUUCCAAAAGUUGACGUAGAAGGUAUUCUUAUUACCAUGGAUAGCACAACAGAAUCAGACUGAAAGCCGAUAGGCGAAGGUUAUUGUAAGGCACUUGUUACUAAAGCAAUAAACCCUUAAUAUUUCGUUGGAAAGACCUUGUCGAGGUAUACAAGCAAUUGCAGAUGCUGUUGGGGGAUACAUUGCUUGGCGUGCUUGUGAUGAUGGCAUUGAGGUAGCUGUUCGGAAUGUGUAUGAUGCUUUUGCUUAGAUGAAGUCUUUGCAGGGUGGUUUAAAGAAGAGCUCAACUAGUUUUUUCGGUGCUGAUGCUUGGUGUAAGGAGUCUUGGGAAGGUGUUGUUGCAUGGGUUUUGGAUGGUGCUGAUGAUAGAGGUGGGACGCUUAAGGUGUAUGCAUGCUUGGCGUUUAUGGUGGAAGCUAUAGCUGUGUUGAAGGCUUUGGAGUGGGCGUGGAACAGGGGAUGGAGAAGUGUUGAAGUCCUCACGGAUUGCCUUCAGCUUCUUGUUCUUAUCUUCUAUUAGUAAUGCGGAUAUGUAUGCUAUGCCUGCUUUGUUUCAUAUUUUAUCCUUAGCGUGUCGUUUUUCUUCAGUUUCUGUAAUUAAAGUGUCAAGACAAGCCGUUGGAGCGGCACACGCUCUGGCCAAAUCUGUACUCUGUUAAUUACUAAUUGGCUUUAA
Molecule: long non-coding RNA, 1233 nt
Organism: Rhododendron vialii
Lineage: Eukaryota; Viridiplantae; Streptophyta; Magnoliopsida; Ericales; Ericaceae
Exons: 6
Source: RefSeq, a predicted model, not a curated record